UUGAAUAUAUUAUAUUACGUUUGGAGGAUUAGACCUCUCUAUAUAUACAUAAAGCUGCAGCUAUCAAGAGUCCAAGUAGAACUCUAGUAUGUGAGUUUAAGCUAAUCCUAUAUCCACUAGAUAAGGGAAUGCAAUUGCAAACUAUACAUUUGAAUUUUAAAAUCAAAACACUAUCAUUAUCUAUUAGGCAAUUUCUUUAUCCUUACAGCUCCCCGCAAGUGCUUUGAUGGUACAACCAUAGCAAGCUUGUCCUUGAGAAAUAGAAACUGGCGUGUAGCAAGACUUUUUGAUGUACCAAAAUGUUUAGAGGAACUCUCUAAUG
Molecule: long non-coding RNA, 322 nt
Filed under: Capsicum annuum
Lineage: Eukaryota; Viridiplantae; Streptophyta; Magnoliopsida; Solanales; Solanaceae
Description: long non-coding RNA (CANN_LNC015253)
Source: RNAcentral